CCUACGGGAGGCAGCAGUAGGGAAUCUUCCACAAUGGGCGAAAGCCUGAUGGAGCAACGCCGCGUGAGUGAAGAAGGUUUUCGGAUCGUAAAACUCUGUUGUAAGGGAAGAACAAGUGCAGUAGUAACUGGCUGCACCUUGACGGUACCUUAUUAGAAAGCCACGGCUAACUACGUGCCAGCAGCCGCGGUAAUACGUAGUGGCAAGCGUUCGGAAUUAUUGGGCGUAAAGCGCGCAGGCGUUUUUUAAGUCUGAUGUGAAAGCCCUCCGGUUAACCGAGGAGGGUCCUUGGAAACUGGGAGACUUGAGUGCGGAAGAGGAAAGUGGAUUCCAAGUGUAGCGGUAAAUGCGUAGAGAUUUGGAGAACACCAGUGGCGAGGCGACUUUCUGGUCUGUAACUGACCUUGAGGCGCGAAAGCGUGGGGAGCAACAGGAUUAGAUACCUUGGUAGUCCACGCCGUAAACGAUGAGUGCUAAGUGUUAGGGGGUUUCCCCCUUAGUGCUGCAGCUAACGCAUUAAGCACUCGCGCGGGGAGUACGGUCGCAAGACUGAAACUCAAAGGAAUUGACGGGGGCCCGCACAAGCGGUGGAGCAUGUGGUUUAAUUCGAAGCAACGCGAAGAACCUUAC
RNAcentral lists this ribosomal RNA (630 nucleotides) under bacterium HN2-5-7. RNAcentral's name for it is "bacterial SSU rRNA". It matches the Rfam family "Bacterial small subunit ribosomal RNA", at positions 338 to 974 of the family's 1533-position model. The record is from RNAcentral.